This 516-nucleotide ribosomal RNA is filed under the name bacterium enrichment culture clone ALO1_GLFRUDD03F0K2M. RNAcentral's name for it is "bacterial SSU rRNA". It matches the Rfam family "Bacterial small subunit ribosomal RNA", at positions 9 to 520 of the family's 1533-position model. The record is from RNAcentral.
GAGUUUGAUCCUGGCUCAGAUUGAACGCUGGCGGCAGGCCUAACACAUGCAAGUCGAGCGGAUGACGGGAGCUUGCUCCUUGAUUCAGCGGCGGACGGGUGAGUAAUGCCUAGGAAUCUGCCUGGUAGUGGGGGACAACGUUUCGAAAGGAACGCUAAUACCGCAUACGUCCUACGGGAGAAAGCAGGGGACCUUCGGGCCUUGCGCUAUCAGAUGAGCCUAGGUCGGAUUAGCUAGUUGGUGGGGUAAUGGCUCACCAAGGCGACGAUCCGUAACUGGUCUGAGAGGAUGAUCAGUCACACUGGAACUGAGACACGGUCCAGACUCCUACGGGAGGCAGCAGUGGGGAAUAUUGGACAAUGGGCGAAAGCCUGAUCCAGCCAUGCCGCGUGUGUGAAGAAGGUCUUCGGAUUGUAAAGCACUUUAAGUUGGGAGGAAGGGCAGUAAGUUAAUACCUUGCUGUUUUGACGUUACCGACAGAAUAAGCACCGGCUAACUCUGUGCCAGCCGCCGCCG